AAUCCUAGUUCGCCUUGAGCAUUUGGGUCAAAGGGACGAAUUAUACGGUAACCAUAUGCCAGUAAAUUCUAGAAGGUUGCUUUGUAAUACUUUGACCUAUCCGAUCGUUGGAUCAUCAUUGCUAGAUGGUUAUAUCGAUUGGUAUAGAAAGUUAUUUCUAUGCUACUGGCUUAGGUUCGAACCUAUGGAGUCAUAUGCAUUAGAAGAUUUGGUCAGAUCAGAUGGCUGAAUAGUCCACUUCUGUGUACUAAAUAAAAGUGGAAUAUUGUUGCUCCUUGAAUUGAUUUUGAUGAUUACAAAGUAUUUGAG
Molecule: long non-coding RNA, 309 nt
Filed under: Elaeis guineensis (African oil palm)
Lineage: Eukaryota; Viridiplantae; Streptophyta; Magnoliopsida; Arecales; Arecaceae
Description: long non-coding RNA (EGUI_LNC066025)
Source: RNAcentral